RNAcentral lists this ribosomal RNA (429 nucleotides) under Chloroflexota bacterium. RNAcentral's name for it is "Chloroflexi bacterium partial 16S ribosomal RNA". It matches the Rfam family "Bacterial small subunit ribosomal RNA", at positions 355 to 776 of the family's 1533-position model. The record is from RNAcentral. Lineage: Bacteria; Bacillati; Chloroflexota.
UGGGGAAUAUUGCACAAUGGGCGCAAGCCUGAUGCAGCCAUGCCGCGUGUAUGAAGAAGGCCUUUGGGUUGUAAAGUACUUUCAGUCGGGAGGAAGGUGGUAAGGUUAAUAACCUUGGCAAUUGACGUUACCGACAGAAGAAGCACCGGCUAACUCCGUGCCAGCAGCCGCGGUAAUACGGAGGGUGCAAGCGUUAAUCGGAAUUACUGGGCGUAAAGCGCACGCAGGCGGUUGAUUGAGUCAGAUGUGAAAUCCCCGGGCUUAACCCGGGAAUUGCAUCUGAUACUGGUCAGCUAGAGUCUUGUAGAGGGGGGUAGAAUUCCAUGUGUAGCGGUGAAAUGCGUAGAGAUGUGGAGGAAUACCGGUGGCGAAGGCGGCCCCCUGGACAAAGACUGACGCUCAGGUGCGAAAGCGUGGGGAGCAAACAGG